Molecule: ribosomal RNA, 427 nt
Filed under: uncultured bacterium
Lineage: Bacteria
Description: partial 16S ribosomal RNA
Rfam family: Bacterial small subunit ribosomal RNA
Source: RNAcentral
UGGGGAAUAUUGCACAAUGGGCGCAAGCCUGAUGCAGCCAUGCCGCGUGUAUGAAGAAGGCCUUCGGGUUGUAAAGUACUUUCAGCGAGGAGGAAGGCGUUGUGGUUAAUAACCGCAGCGAUUGACGUUACUCGCAGAAGAAGCACCGGCUAACUCCGUGCCAGCAGCCGCGGUAAUACGGAGGGUGCAAGCGUUAAUCGGAAUUACUGGGUGUAAAGCGCACGCAGGCGGUCCGUCAAGUCGGAUGUGAAAUCCCCGGGCUCAACCUGGGAACUGCAUCCGAAACUGGCAGGCUAGAGUCUUGUAGAGGGGGGUAGAAUUCCAGGUGUAGCGGUGAAAUGCGUAGAGAUCUGGAGGAAUACCGGUGGCGAAGGCGGCCCCCUGGACAAAGACUGACGCUCAGGUGCGAAAGCGUGGGGAGCAAACA